RNAcentral lists this transfer RNA (72 nucleotides) under Camelus bactrianus (Bactrian camel). It matches the Rfam family "tRNA". Rfam says of the family: Transfer RNA (tRNA) molecules are approximately 80 nucleotides in length. Their secondary structure includes four short double-helical elements and three loops (D, anti-codon, and T loops). Further hydrogen bonds mediate the characteristic L-shaped molecular structure. tRNAs have two regions of fundamental functional importance: the anti-codon, which is responsible for specific mRNA codon recognition, and the 3' end, to which the tRNAs corresponding amino acid is attached (by aminoacyl-tRNA synthetases). tRNAs cope with the degeneracy of the genetic code in two manners: having more than one tRNA (with a specific anti-codon) for a particular amino acid; and 'wobble' base-pairing, i.e. permitting non-standard base-pairing at the 3rd anti-codon position. Lineage: Eukaryota; Metazoa; Chordata; Mammalia; Artiodactyla; Camelidae. The record is from Rfam by way of RNAcentral. RNAcentral also lists the same sequence under 2 other names.
GAGGGUAUAGCUCAGUGGUAGAGCACAUGCUUAGCAUGCCUGAGGUCCUGGGUUCAAUUCCUAGUACCUCCA